AUUGAACGCUGGCGGUAUGCUUAACACAUGCAAGUCGAACGGUAACAGGCCUUCGGGCGCUGACGAGUGGCGGACGGGUGAGUAACGCGUAGGAAUCUGCCUCAUAGUGGGGGACAACGUGGGGAAACUCACGCUAAUACCGCAUACGCCCUACGGGGGAAAGCGGGGGAGUCUUCGGACCUCGCGCUAUGAGAUGAGCCUGCGUUAGAUUAGCUAGUUGGUAGGGUAAAGGCCUACCAAGGCGACGAUCUAUAGCUGGUCUGAGAGGACGAUCAGCCACACUGGGACUGAGACACGGCCCAGACUCCUACGGGAGGCAGCAGUGGGGGAAUAUUGGACAAUGGGCGCAAGCCUGAUCCAGCAAUACCGCGUGUGUGAAGAAGGGCCCUAGGGUUGUAAAGCACUUUCAAUUGGGAGGGAAAACCUAGCCGGUCAAUACCCGGCAGCUUGACAUUACCUUUA
This 462-nucleotide ribosomal RNA is filed under the name uncultured bacterium. RNAcentral's name for it is "bacterial SSU rRNA". It matches the Rfam family "Bacterial small subunit ribosomal RNA", at positions 30 to 483 of the family's 1533-position model. The record is from RNAcentral.